AGGUUAACCGUAUAGGGGAGCCGUAGAGAAAUCGAGUCUUAAUAGGGCGUUUAGUUGCUGGGUAUAGACCCGAAACCAGGCGAUCUAUCCAUGAGCAGGUUGAAGGUUGGGUAACACUAACUGGAGGACCGAACCCACUGUCGUUGAAAAGCCAGGGGAUGACUUGUGGAUAGGGGUGAAAGGCUAAUCAAGCCUGGUGAUAGCUGGUUCUCCCCGAAAGCUAUUUAGGUAGCGCCUCGGACGAAUACCAUAGGGGGUAGAGCACUGUUUCGGCUAGGGGGUCAUCCCGACUUACCAAACCGAUGCAAACUCCGAAUACCUAUGAGUACUAUCCGGGAGACAGACUGCGGGUGCUAACGUCCGUAGUCAAGAGGAAAACAAUCCAGACCGCCAGCUAAGGCCCCAAAAUCAUAGUUAAGUGGGAAACGAUGUGGGAAGGCAUAGACAGCUAGGAGGUUGGCUUAGAAGCAGCCACCCUUUAAAGAAAGCGUAAUAGCUCACUAGUCGAGUCGGCCUGCGCGGAAGAUGUAACGGGGCUAAAACUAUGUGCCGAAGCUGCGGAUGUAUACUUUGUAUACGUGGUAGGGGAGCGUUCUGUAAGCCGAUGAAGGUGU
Molecule: ribosomal RNA, 614 nt
Filed under: Acinetobacter baumannii
Lineage: Bacteria; Pseudomonadati; Pseudomonadota; Gammaproteobacteria; Moraxellales; Moraxellaceae
Description: partial 23S ribosomal RNA
Rfam family: Bacterial large subunit ribosomal RNA
Source: RNAcentral